This is a non-coding RNA of Pelodiscus sinensis (Chinese soft-shelled turtle), 2147 nucleotides long. The record is from RefSeq and is a predicted model, not a curated record. Lineage: Eukaryota; Metazoa; Chordata; Testudines; Trionychidae.
AGACAGAGAGCACACAUGCCUCUUCGGAUAAACUGAAAACAAGAGGGCCAAGUUCAGAUGAGCCACAGCGGAAGAGUCAGAAAGGUGUUUAAAACAACAGAAUAGUUCUAGGAGAGGUUGACACCGUAUCAAAGUCAAGCUCGCUUGCUCCUCCUCCGCCUGCCGCCGCUGGCUGGAGCCUCCUCCCCGCCUUCAGCCCGACCUUCCUCCACCUCCGCUGGCAGGUUAGUGCGUGUGGGGGCCCAGCUCCAAACUGGAGGGGGCGGGGGAAGACGCGGUACAAGCUCCCCCUUCCCAGGGUUGGGCUCAGCUGUGCACCAGGUAUGGGGCCCUGCCACAGCGGCAGGAGGGACGGGGACGGGAUGCAAAUGUUGCCUUUGCCCCCGGGCACAUAUCACUCUCGCUACGCCAGUGCUGCGUGCACACACACAGAGGCGUCUUCCGACAGGUUUGCACAUUAAGUGCAAUGAAGUCUCCUGCUCUGGGGGUGGCAGGAGCCUUCGGGCACGACUGCCAUUAACAAGGGGUCGAGCUUCCCUUUUCUCCACGAAGUACUGACAAGAAGGGGAUUGUGUCUGGCUGUUUCAUCUCUCCACGCCUUGCACCAGAGUGAGCCCCCUGGCAGCCAGUGCAUUGUUAAUCACCGCUCACUCGUAAAUCUUAUGUCCCGUGUCACGUGGCUAACCCUGGUAGGGGCUGGCAGGGCCUUGUAAUUCUUCCAGGUGGAGAGGAACACAAGCCCCGGGAACAGGCAGGAAGUGGGGGAGUGGGAAGCAUGGAACAGUGAUUGCUCUGUGCUUCCUCCCUCUAUUCAGCCUCUGUCAGGCAUCUACAGGGCUAGGCUCCAUGCGGGGCGAUGUGGUUUCUGGGGCCAGACACUGUCCACGGCACGUGCCACUUACAUUGGUGGAUUCUGAGAAUCACGCCAGCUUCCCCUCCCCCUUCAUUUCCUCUUCUAGCACCACUGGGCUGGGGCAGAGCCGGGGCAGAACGGGGAGCCCCACUUAUGCCACAAGCCCAGGAUCUGGCAGCUCUGCAGGCAGAAUUGCUGAGCCCCAGGGCAAAGGGGGAGACAGGGCAGAAGGGGAGGGCCUGGGGCAGGCCUCUCCCAGGCAGCCCUCCAGUGCAGUAGCAGUAACGGCGAGCGGGAGCGCCGGGCCCUUUUGAACCUUUCCCCACCCCUGUCAAUUGGCCUGUCUGCAGGAUUUCAGGUGGUAACUCCUUCCCUCUGCUCCAAGGGCAAUACAGCCAGAAAGGGCCACCGCGACAGGCAGCACAGCUUGCCAAGAAGGACCAGCAGAGGGUGAAAAGUUUUGACAUUCUGACCCCAGUACAAGGGAUGAGCAGGAGGUGCACAAAAGCAGUGUUGCCAAAUUCCCCUCCCCUCCCCCAUCCUUCCAACCAGCUGCAGGAAGUAUAGAGCAAGCUUUUAGCUGUCCCUUUGUGGCCUAAAACAAAACCUUCUUUUCUUCCCUCCCUCUCCCCUCCGCGGCCCUAAUCAACACACUGUCAGACCUCUGCAAUUGAACAGCUUUGCAUGAUAAAUGGAACGUGUGCUCCAGGCUUCCUCUCUGGUUCCCAAGUUGUAUGGUUGCUGGUUUGUUUGUUUGUGUUUGCAGUGGAAAAGGGCUCAGAUCAGUAGGUCAGUGUGCAACAAAGGAGUAAAACAUGCUGGAAGUUGUAAUGCAGCACUCACCAGACGGGGGCGACACCAUCCACAUCUUUGCUGAACGGAUAGGAGCUCCUGCCCUCUUCUGCUACUGAAGACUUAAUCAAAACAGGCAAAGCCACCCUAAUGCUGCCCCAAGGCUGGGGGAGAUGAGACUGCAAGGAAGAAACACUGCGCAGCCACCUGGCUUCUGGGGAGAACGGCGACAUUCUCAGAAACCACUAGCGACCCUCUCAGCUACCUUUGUGUGAAUCAGGGCGACACCACCACAGUCACUAGUUAAGGGAGAGGAGAAUUAGCCAGCUCGCAGAGGAAGAGAACUUUGCUCGCCUGGAAGGUUUUACUGCGAUGCUGAUAGCCUCCCGGCUACUCCUGACUGACACCGCUGACCCUAAUACAUUUAAAGCGCGGUCCACAAACACAGACCCACCCCCGUGGUACUGCUUUUCGAGAUGGGAAACUGAGGCACAGAGCAGUG